RNAcentral lists this ribosomal RNA (200 nucleotides) under uncultured bacterium. Its description in RNAcentral is "partial 16S ribosomal RNA". It matches the Rfam family "Bacterial small subunit ribosomal RNA", at positions 29 to 259 of the family's 1533-position model. The record is from RNAcentral.
AACGAACGCUGGCGGCAGGCUUAACACAUGCAAGUCGAGCGCCCCGCAAGGGGAGUGGCAGACGGGUGAGUAACGCGUGGGAAUCUACCCAGAUCUUCGGAACAACUGAGGGAAACUUCAGCUAAUACCGGAUACGCCCUACGGGGAAAGAUUUAUCGGUUCUGGAUGAGCCCGCGCUGGAUUAGCUAGUUGGUGGGGUA